Molecule: ribosomal RNA, 465 nt
Filed under: uncultured bacterium
Lineage: Bacteria
Description: bacterial SSU rRNA
Rfam family: Bacterial small subunit ribosomal RNA
Source: RNAcentral
UCCCAGACUCCUACGGGAGGCAGCAGUGAGGAAUAUUGGUCAAUGGCCGAGAGGCUGAACCAGCCAAGUCGCGUGAGGGAAGACGGCCCUACGGGUUGUAAACCUCUUUUGUCGGGGAGCGAAGCGAACCACGUGUGGUUCAUUGAGAGUACCCGGAGAAAAAGCAUCGGCUAACUCCGUGCCAGCAGCCGCGGUAAUACGGAGGAUGCGAGCGUUAUCCGGAUUUAUUGGGUUUAAAGGGUGCGUAGGCGGGCUUUUAAGUCAGCGGUAAAAAUUCGGGGCUCAACCCCGUCCGGCCGUUGAAACUGGGGGCCUUGAGUGGGCGAGAAGAAGGCGGAAUGCGUGGUGUAGCGGUGAAAUGCAUAGAUAUCACGCAGAACUCCGAUUGCGAAGGCAGCAUACCGGCGCCCGACUGACGCUGAGGCACGAAAGCGUGGGUAUCGAACAGGAUUAGAUACCCCGGUA